AGUAGCAACAGGGUUUUGCCAUGUUGCCCAGGCUGGUCUAAAACUCCUGGACUCAAACAAUCCACCCCCCUCGGCCUCUCAAACUGCUGGGAUUACAGGCAUAAGCCACCACGCCAAGCCAGAAUAUGCAUUUUUUUUUUUUUGAGAUGGAGUCUCGCUGUGUUGCUCAGGUUGGAGUGCAGUGGCGCAAUUUUGGCUCACUGCAACCUCCGCUUCCUGCGGUCAAGCAAUUCUCCUGCCUCAGCCUCCCAAGUAACUGGGAUUACAGGCGCCUGCUGCCACGCCCAGCUAAUUUUGUAUUUUUAGUAGAGAUGGGGUUUCACCAUGUUGGGCAGGCUCGUCUCAGAACUCCUGACCUCUGGUGAUCUGCCUGCCUCGGCCUCCCAAAGUGCUGGGAUUACAGGCGUGAGCCACCACCCCCAGCAAGAAUAUGGAUUUUUAAAAGUUUCCAAAACUGUGGAAAUGGCCAGUCCAUUGCCCACACUUUCUGUGCACUUCUGCAGACCUCCAACGAGGGCCAGCGCAGUGCCAGAGCCCAGCAACCCAGCAAGGGAAUGAAUUUGCUCUAACUAUGGAGGGACAGUCUUCGGAAGUGGAGUUCUUAAGGACCAUCAUUCCUUUCUUUCAAUGAGAUGCCAGACUGCUGAGAAGGUGAGCAAUGCUGCAGGCGGCUCAUAGGGCAGCCCACAGGUAGGCCUGGGGCAAGACUAGCCAUGGGGCUUCACAGCCUCCACAAAAAAGGAGAUGGAUUCCCUUCUGCACUGUCAGAGGAAGCUAAAUGUAGAGCUCUGGGAGAGAAGAUGCUGGUCUCAAAGCCAUAGCUUGAGAUACCAUAGCUUGAGAUAUCAUAGCUUGAGACCAGGCUCAGACAUGCACUCUGAGUAAUGUGAAGGGGCAGCAUAGAGGCUCAGGAACUGCACAAAGCUGAGUCUGCAUCCCAGCUCUGCCUUUAUUAGCUGGGUGACCUUGAGCAAGUCACUUCACCUCUCUGAGCUCCAAUUUCCUCAUUGGUAAAAUGGGUAUAACACCACCUACCUUGCAGGGUGUUUAUGAAUUCUCUUUAUUUAUUUAUUUAUUUGAGACAGGGUCUCGCUCUGUCACCCAGGCUGGAGUACAGUGGCAUAAUCUUGGCUCAUUGCAACCUCCGCCUCCCAGGUUCAAGUGAUUCUCGUGCUUCAGCCUGCUGAGUAGCUGGGACUAGAGGUGCCACCACACGCAGCUAAUUUUUCUUUUUUUUUUUGAGAUGGAGUUUCACUCUUGUUGCCUAGGCUGGAGUGCAAUGGUGCGGUCUCAACUCAUUGCAAACUCCACCUCCCAGGUUCAAGCAAUUCUCCUGCCUCAGUCUCCCGAGUAGCUGGGAUUACAGACGCCUGGCCUCUAAUUUUUGUAUUUUUAGUAGAGAUGGGGUUUCACCAUGUUGGCCAGGCUGGUCUCAAACUCCUGACCUCAGGUGAUCCUCCCACCUCGGCCUCUCAAAGUGCUGGGAUUACAGGCAUGAGCCACAGUGCACAGCCUGCUGUUUUUUUUUUUUUAUUUUGUUUUGUUUUUGAGACAGGGUUUUACUCCUGUCACCCAGGCUGGAGUAUAAUGGUGUGAACUCAGCUCACUGAAAUGUCCACCUCCCAGCCUCAAGCAAUUCUCCUGCCUUAGCCUCCCAAGUAGCUGGGACUACAGGGGCAUGCCAGGGCACCCAGCUAAUUUUUUUGCAUUUUUUGUACAGACGGGGUUUCACCAUGUUGCCCAGGCUGGUCUCGAACUGAACUCGAGUGAUCCACUGGCUUCGCCCUCCCGAGGUGCUGAGAUUACAGGUAUGAGCCACUGCGCCCGUCAUCUCCCUUGCAUUUCUAUCAUCAUCUUCCAACUCAGGGAGGACUGUGAUUCUAUUCUCUCUGAGUCUCCCCCCAUGAAUUAUCUCUGACUCUGACUUACCUACCCUUCCCCCAUCCCCUUGUCCCUUUCCCUCUCUCUGAUCCUCCACUUCCUCUCCACUAUCUAAUUCUACCCUAACUGCCACCUCCUGACCUGGCCCUGACCCAGGGGCUGGGGAGCUGGCACUCACCCCACAGUCAGUGGCCACCGUGUACUCAAAGUGGAACACCAGGGACCAGAUGAUGCAGAAGAAGAAGCCGAACACAGGAAAAGUGAUGGCCCACCAGACCAUGGCUGUGAAGCGAAGCCGGAACAAGGUCCCAUCGGGGUCCAAAGGCUGGGAGGCCGCAGAGAACAUCCUGCAGGGCGUGGCCUAAGCAGCACGAGGGAUACAACUUGGGGCCUGGUAGGACACCUGGGUCUGGGAAAGUGGGGCCUUUUCCAGAGAUGGCUCCUCAGAGUAUAAGGAAAAGCCAGAGCAGAAAGGGUAGAAAAGGCAUAAGGGGAAAAGGAAGACAGUGCAGAGGAGAAGGAUCAGAGGGAGAUGGGGCAGGAGCAGCAGAGACAGGCAGGGUCAGAGCUUAGGAAUCCCCCUGGCACAGUGAUACUCUAGGUCCACCUCUUGAAGAGCCUACAGAAGAGAGGCUCCCGGUGGCUUGGACAGGGAGCUCUGGUGGCCCACCUCACUCUCACAACCCUCAUAGCCACUCAGGAGAAGGGUCAGAGGUAGAAAGGUUAUUAUUCCCAUUUCACAGAAGGGGAGACUGAGGCCCAGAACUAUGCCAGGAUCAAACACCAGGACUAAGGCCUCUUGCCACCUGACAGCUUCAGGUUCUAAGUCAUGGCUUCUUUCAGGCCAACUAACAAAGGACCGUUGGCUCAGAAUGGCCAAAGCCCUCCCACUGACCCUGUCUGACCACAUUCCUGUUCCUUACCCAAGUUCAACUAGGAACAGAGGGAGUGCCCCAGAGCCU
This 2843-nucleotide long non-coding RNA is filed under the name Homo sapiens (human). RNAcentral describes it as "non-protein coding lnc-RHOG-1:1". Lineage: Eukaryota; Metazoa; Chordata; Mammalia; Primates; Hominidae. The record is from RNAcentral.